GACAGAGGGUGCAAACGUUGCUCGGAAUUACUGGGCGUAAAGCGCGUGUAGGCGGACCGUUAAGUCAGGCGUGAAAGCCCGGGGCUCAACCCCGGAACUGCCUUUGAAACUAGAUUGCUAGAAUCCUGGAGAGGUUAGUGGAAUUCCGAGUGUAGAGGUGAAAUUCGUAGAUAUUCGGAAGAACACCAGUGGCGAAGGCGACUAACUGGACAGGUAUUGACGCUGAGGUGCGAAAGCGUGGGGAGCAAACAGG
This 253-nucleotide ribosomal RNA is filed under the name uncultured bacterium. RNAcentral's name for it is "partial 16S ribosomal RNA". It matches the Rfam family "Bacterial small subunit ribosomal RNA", at positions 524 to 776 of the family's 1533-position model. The record is from RNAcentral.